AACUUUCAAGAAGAUAGUACACAAAAUUGGGAUAUAUAGGUUCAAGGAUGUUCUCAUUAAAGGAGUUCGUACAUGUAAUACUCUUUUUCCUUUACGAGGUUUUGUCCCACAGGAUUUUUCUUGUAAGGUUUUUAACGACACAGCCUAUAUGCGUAUUAUUAAAAAUGUGUACUCUUUUUGAUUCACUAGAUUUUUUUCUCAAUUUUUUCUAGUAAGGUUUUAAUGUAACACAUUAUCUAUCAAUUAGACAUUCA
This 254-nucleotide long non-coding RNA is filed under the name Capsicum annuum. Its description in RNAcentral is "long non-coding RNA (CANN_LNC015741)". Lineage: Eukaryota; Viridiplantae; Streptophyta; Magnoliopsida; Solanales; Solanaceae. The record is from RNAcentral.